Molecule: ribosomal RNA, 391 nt
Filed under: Clostridium perfringens
Lineage: Bacteria; Bacillati; Bacillota; Clostridia; Eubacteriales; Clostridiaceae
Description: bacterial SSU rRNA
Rfam family: Bacterial small subunit ribosomal RNA
Source: RNAcentral
UGAUGCAGCAACGCCGCGUGAGCGAUGAAGGCCUUCGGGUCGUAAAGCUCUGUCCUCAAGGAAGAUAAUGACGGUACUUGAGGAGGAAGCCCCGGCUAACUACGUGCCAGCAGCCGCGGUAAUACGUAGGGGGCUAGCGUUAUCCGGAAUUACUGGGCGUAAAGGGUGCGUAAGCGGUCUUUCAAGCCAGAAGUGAAAGGCUACGGCUCAACCGUAGUAAGCUUUUGGAACUGUAAGACUUGAGUGCAGGAGAGGAGAGUGGAAUUCCUAGUGUAGCGGUGAAAUGCGUAUAUAUUAGGAGGAACACCAUUAGCGAAGGCGGCUCUCUGGACUGUAACUGACGCUGAGGCACGAAAGCGUGGGGAGCAAACAGGAUUAAAAACCCGGGUAG